UUUGUACUUCCUCCGUCCCAAAAUUCUUGUCUUAAAUUUGUCGAAAUACGGAUGUAUCUAGUUACAUUUUAGUGUUAGAUACAUCCGUAUCUAAACAAAUGUAAGAUAAGAAUUGUGGGACGGAGGGAAUACUAC
Triticum aestivum (bread wheat) is the source of this 135-nucleotide non-coding RNA. NCBI's taxonomy places the organism in Eukaryota, Viridiplantae, Streptophyta, Magnoliopsida, Poales, Poaceae. The record is from Rfam.